UACGGAGGGGGCAAGCGUUGUUCGGAAUUAUUGGGCGUAAAGCGUAUGUAGGCGGCCGAGUAAGUCAGGCGUGCAAGCCCGUGGCUCAACCACGGAAUUGCGUCUGAAACUACUUGGCUUGAGUACAGGAGAGGAAAGCGGAAUUCCCAGUGUAGCGGUGAAAUGCAUUGAUAUUGGGAAGAACAUCUGUGGCGAAGGCGGCUUUCUGGUCUGUUACUGACGCUGAGAUACGAAAGCCAGGGGAGCGAACGGG
This 253-nucleotide ribosomal RNA is filed under the name uncultured bacterium. RNAcentral's name for it is "partial 16S ribosomal RNA". It matches the Rfam family "Bacterial small subunit ribosomal RNA", at positions 524 to 776 of the family's 1533-position model. The record is from RNAcentral.